This 301-nucleotide ribosomal RNA is filed under the name uncultured bacterium. RNAcentral describes it as "partial 16S ribosomal RNA". It matches the Rfam family "Bacterial small subunit ribosomal RNA", at positions 510 to 808 of the family's 1533-position model. The record is from RNAcentral.
CGUAGCCGCGGUAAUACAGAGGGUGCGAGCGUUAAUCGGAUUUACUGGGCGUAAAGCGUGCGUAGGCGGCUUUUUAAGUCGGAUGUGAAAUCCCUGAGCUUAACUUAGGAAUUGCAUUCGAUACUGGGAAGCUAGAGUAUGGGAGAGGAUGGUAGAAUUCCAGGUGUAGCGGUGAAAUGCGUAGAGAUCUGGAGGAAUACCGAUGGCGAAGGCAGCCAUCUGGCCUAAUACUGACGCUGAGGUACGAAAGCAUGGGGAGCAAACAGGAUUAGAUACCCCCGUAGUCCCUGUCUCUUAUACC